Molecule: long non-coding RNA, 1021 nt
Filed under: Chinchilla lanigera (long-tailed chinchilla)
Lineage: Eukaryota; Metazoa; Chordata; Mammalia; Rodentia; Chinchillidae
Description: lncRNA (ENSCLAG00000028829.1)
Source: RNAcentral
UGAAGUUCCCUGGUCCAGGACAGAUGCUUACUUAAGACUGAGUGAUGUUUGGUGACAGAGGAAUUCAAGAUAAAGAAAACUGGGCAGCAUGAGAUGAAGACAUAGAAAUUGCUUGGAGUUUGUGAGCUUUUGUCGUCCAAAGGAAGGGAACUGUGUUGAAGAACAUUCAUUUUAAGGACAGUACAUCUGCAGUCAUGCAAAGGAUCACAGCUUGUAUAAAGCAAUAUCAUCAACAGCAUCAUUAUGGUCAUUCAAGACAUAGACCCCAGUGAUCCAUCUGAGCUAUGUUGUGUGCAGAAAACAACGAUUAAACCAUGGUAUAUUGUAGGGGUGCUCCAGAUGAUAGGUGGUGUGGCACUGAAUGUCCUGUGGGCAGUAGUCAUUUCCAACUCAUCUCAUUAUGAACUUUCUAUGAAACAGUCAGACCCUGUAUUGCCGUACAUCUAUCUCUUGGUGCCUCUCAUUUAUGUCUCAUCAGGAAUUCUGACCGUUAUGGCUGAAAACACACAGAAUAUCAAUGUGAUUGUGGCCUUCAUAUUGGUAAAAUUUGUGAGCUUUCUAGCUUCGCUGGCAUUCACAGUAAUGCAUGGUGCAAAUUCAUUUGCAUUUGCACGGAUGAAAGCUAUAUUCCCUGCAGACAUCGCAUCUUUCGUCCUCACACUGUUUGAGUUCAUCUUGUCUCUUUGCCUCUACUUUGCUGCUGGUUACUCUGAAGAGACAAGAAACUCACCCCAAAUCUUCAGCUCAUGAUGAAAUAAGGUUGAACUCUGCAUAUCUGCAUAAGACCAAGACUAAUUUAUGUGGCUGUCCUGAGGUGGUUUGAGAGAAUACCUUCAUGUGCUUUUCUUUAUCUUUUUUACUGUUGCAUCAUCUGGGAUAUCUUUAUCUAUACAAUAAAGAGGAGUGGAAGUCUUCUCAGGAGAAUAAUUGUUACUAAUUGUUUGAUGCUGACUUUUCUGUGGUUUGCUUUCUACCCUCAAUGUGAAUACCUCUGAGGAUGAGGACAGAACUUAAAUUGCUU